AUUGAACGCUGGCGGCAUGCCUAACACAUGCAAGUCGAACGGCAGCGCGGGUAGCAAUACUUGGCGGCGAGUGGCGGACGGGUGAGGAAUGCAUCGGAAUCUGCCCAGUUGUGGGGGAUAACUGGCCGAAAGGCCAGCUAAUACCGCAUACGACCGAGAGGUGAAAGCGGGGGACCUUCGGGCCUCGCGCGAUUGGAUGAGCCGAUGCCGGAUUAGCUAGUUGGUGGGGUGAAGGCCUACCAAGGCGACGAUCCGUAGCUGGUCUGAGAGGAUGAUCAGCCACACUGGCACUGAGAUACGGGCCAGACUCCUACGGGAGGCAGCAGUGAGGAAUAUUGCGCAAUGGGCGAAAGCCUGACGCAGCGACGCCGCGUGGGGGAUGAAGGUUUUCGGAUUGUAAACCCCUUUCAUGAGGAAAGAUAAAGUGGGUAACCACUUAGACGGUACCUCAAGAAGAAGCCACGGCUAACUUCGUGCCAGCAGCCGACGG
This 490-nucleotide ribosomal RNA is filed under the name uncultured bacterium. Its description in RNAcentral is "bacterial SSU rRNA". It matches the Rfam family "Bacterial small subunit ribosomal RNA", at positions 29 to 520 of the family's 1533-position model. The record is from RNAcentral.